This 804-nucleotide long non-coding RNA is filed under the name Anser brachyrhynchus (Pink-footed goose). RNAcentral describes it as "lncRNA (ENSABRG00000012853.1)". The record is from RNAcentral. Lineage: Eukaryota; Metazoa; Chordata; Aves; Anseriformes; Anatidae.
GCUUCUUUGUACUACUGUAAUAUACCUCACAUCUAGGACCUAAAGCAGUAUGGCAGAUUUCCCUGCUUUCUUUAGCGUAGCUUACUUAUUUAAUGUGACUGCAUCCCCAAAUGGAAUUAGGUGACUGUGUUCAAAGCACAAUGCUGAUUAAAAUCAAAGCUAUCUAUUUUUUUGUAUAUUAAGUAUAUGGCUUUGAAAAGUAGCCCAACUUUUACUUAAAUUAAAUAAAAACCAUAGCCAUCCAAUGGAAGUUUGCAUUGCUAUUAUCUAGGGUUUUCACCAGUCAUAAACAACAAGAAUUAAAAUGUUUUUGAAAUAAAUGGGACAAAACAUGGAAAAAGAGAUAAUGACAUCUGGCCUAGAGACUGGGAGAGCAGACCUCUUGCCUACCUAGAGCUACUGCUCUAAGCAGGCUACCAGCAGGACAUAGAGAAGUUUGGAAAACAUAAUAGAGGUAGAUGAUUUUAUGUUACUGCCACACUCUUUUAUGGUAGAAGAUAGAUAAAUACUAACUGAAAACUCCUGAAGUUUCAUAUGCAGGAGGGUCAGGACAACUAGAAGCUGGCUCCUUUACCUUCUUUGAGGCAGUUCAAGUAAUUGGGGCUUAGGACCACAGGGUUCAUGCAUUUAUUAUUCCUUCUGCUUUUCCAGGUGUAUGACAUCUAGUGGCAGCUGUAGCUUGUAAGACCUUGGAGACACUGUCAGCUUUAUUGGGCAACACCAUGAAGGAAAUUUUGAUCAAAAUCUCAUACCUGUUAACAGAGAGAGCCAGCGGGAGAUGUGCAGGGUUUAUUUUGCCUCAGG